CGUAGGUGGAAAGGCGAACCCUGAGUGGAGGAUGUUCCCACUGCCUAAAGAAUGAUUGACUGGAACUGCACUUUUGUGAGAUUAUAAAUAUACCACGGAGGGUAACGAAGCUACAGAAGAAUGGAAGAAGACAGCCUGGAAGACUCAAACCUUCCUCCAAAAGUUUGGCAUUCUGAGAUGACGGUGUCAGUGACAGGCGAACCACCUAGUACCGUAGAAGAAGAAGGAAUACCUAAAGAAACAGACAUAGAAAUCAUCCCAGAAAUCCCAGAAACCCUAGAGCCACUGUCCCUUCCAGAUGUGCUGAGGAUCUCGGCAGUUCUGGAGGACACCACAGACCAGCUCUCUAUUCUGAACUACAUCAUGCCCGUUCAGUACGAAGGGAGACAGAGCAUCUGCGUGGUAUAGACCCACUCACCAUGAG
RNAcentral lists this long non-coding RNA (424 nucleotides) under Pan troglodytes (chimpanzee). RNAcentral's name for it is "long non-coding RNA NONPTRT012288". Lineage: Eukaryota; Metazoa; Chordata; Mammalia; Primates; Hominidae. The record is from RNAcentral.